CCUGCCCCUUCCUCUGGGGUUGCGAACGGCCCCCGAGCCUGGUACAGGCUGGGAUUGUAGUCCUGCAGCCUUGUGGCCGAAGGGCUGGGACUGGCCAUGAGAUUACAUGUCCUAGCAUGCUCAGCCAGGCGCGCGCAGCUCUGCCCCUUCCUCCAGUGAUGCGCACAGUCCCUGAUCCCUGUGCACGCUGGGAUUGUAGUCCUGCAGCCCUGCGAUCACUUGCCGGUAACAAGAAAUUUCAGCUCCCGGCAUGGUAGGCGAAGGCCCCCACCUUCAGCCUCGCUCCUCCAUGCCUUCAGAGCAGUUCCGCCACGCAGAGGGGGAGCCUGCCUGUUCUUUAACCUCUCCUACCUGAUGGGAGAGGACAAGCUACCAGGGCAGCUUGUCUCACCAAGAAAUUGUGAUACCGCAUCCCCCAACGUGCUGGCUUCCUGACUUCCAAAGUUGCGGCAAGGUAAGAAGAACUACAGAGGAAGAACCUACUGCAGAUGUUUCCCAGGAGACUUUAAUUGAAGUAUCAGCAAAACUGAAAGAUGGAGUCUCAUUCUGUCACCCAAGCUGGAGUGCAGUGGCGCGGUCUUGGCUAACAGCAACCUCCGCCAGGUUCAAGCGAUUCUCAUGUCUCAGCCUCCCGGGUUCAAGCAAUUCUCCUGCCUCAGCCUCCCGGGUUCAAGCAAUUCUCCUGCCUCAGCCUCUCGAGUAGCUGGGAUUACAGGCACGCACCACCACGCCCAGUCUUGCUCUGUUGCCCAGGUUGGAAUGCAGCGGCGUGAUCUCAGCUCACUGCAACCUCCACCUCCGGGGUUCAAGCGAUUCUCUCCUGCCUCAGCCUCCAGGACUCUUCUCCAAUAUAAAUUCCAUGAUGUUGAAUAAAGGUGGAGCAACUGCUUCAGGGUUUUCCUCUAGUA
Molecule: long non-coding RNA, 908 nt
Organism: Gorilla gorilla gorilla (western lowland gorilla)
Lineage: Eukaryota; Metazoa; Chordata; Mammalia; Primates; Hominidae
Exons: 5
Source: RefSeq, a predicted model, not a curated record